This 609-nucleotide long non-coding RNA is filed under the name Sorghum bicolor (sorghum). RNAcentral describes it as "long non-coding RNA (SBIC_LNC011027)". The record is from RNAcentral. Lineage: Eukaryota; Viridiplantae; Streptophyta; Magnoliopsida; Poales; Poaceae.
GACCAGAAAUAAGAUGCAGCUAUCAACAGUGAUUCAUUCUUGUGCAUAUCGGCAAUAGACAGCCUAAUGCAUUGGUCUAGCUUUCUCUCUCCCCACUGAACUUCGUUGGAGUUGCCGACCCUCAAGAACCAAUCCUUCCACCCCACGGUAGGGCUGGGCCAGGAACGAAAAGCAUCUUUCCACAGGUCCAAAGAAAAGUUCUCUGCUCUAAAAGGGAUCCUGUUGGUUUCUGCGUUUAUGAGGUUGGUUGGAUCUGGAUCCCCUAGCGGGCCAAGGCAUUGGAGGUGUGGUUGAUCAGUAGGGAUGACGAUUUUGUUAGCCGAUUCCUAGUGGUUUUGGAGAUAAAAAAAACAUAAAAAAAGGGGAGAGGAAAUGUUCAGUAAAAUAGAUUGCGGAUGAACAGGGGUGCGAGAAAAGUACGAGGGAUGGCGUAAAGAACCGACCUCAGGAAUGAUGAAGUUGACGGCCAUCUUGUCGCGAAGAGGAUGAGUGAGGACUUCGGAGUUGGUGAAGAAGGGGCUUCGUCGAAGAUCUUGGAGCUUUUGGACAGUGCCGCCGCUGGAAAGAUGAGGUUGGGGUUCUAGAAUGAUGUGAUGGGGAAGGAGUACC